CUGCUGAAAAGUUGCUAUUUUGCUAAAUCUAAAUACUUGUCUUCAUUUCCUUUAAUGACCUUGAUUUCCAGGUCUUGACUGUGUCCAGCAUUGUUGUUCUGCUGGAUGAGAAUGUAUAUGAUGUUUUAUCAUUGAUUUUGGUUAUUUUUGUGACUGUCUGGUUGAGAUUUUCCUUUGUGAAGGACAGGAAAUACAUCCAUUUGGUCUCUAGCUGCAGACAUUGCUCUGUCAGAUGAAUCUUCUUCUCAUACAUUUUGGCAUUGAGGUGUCUAGUUCUCUGACAUCUUCUGAGCAGAUUGCUUGUUGGUGAGGAGUUUGAUUCCUUCUUGUCUGUUGAGCAUUCCUCAUUGAUGUCAUUGUGUGCCUUCUAUGGUUAAGAAAUGUUAAUAUUGAAUUUCCUUUGAAAUCAGUGAAUUGUCUCAUUAAAUCUACCAGAUGGGAAAGUUCGGAAAGAUCUAGCAUAUCAG
This 467-nucleotide small RNA is filed under the name Histoplasma ohiense. RNAcentral describes it as "hypothetical lncRNA". Lineage: Eukaryota; Fungi; Ascomycota; Eurotiomycetes; Onygenales; Ajellomycetaceae. The record is from RNAcentral.